This 631-nucleotide ribosomal RNA is filed under the name uncultured fungus. Its description in RNAcentral is "eukaryotic LSU rRNA". The stretch from base 261 to 414 matches the Rfam family "5.8S ribosomal RNA". The record is from RNAcentral. Lineage: Eukaryota; Fungi.
CUUGGUCAUUUAGAGGAAGUAAAAGUCGUAACAAGGUUUCCGUAGGUGAACCUGCGGAAGGAUCAUUACAUUCAGUAGCUUGCUACUGUUAGGGGGGUCUGUCAGCCUGUAUAGUAUCACUACUGAUGAGCAGCGCGACCCUCUGUCUGUACCCUUGUCUUUUGCGUACUCAUGUUUCCUCGGCGGGUUUACACCCGCCGGCUGGACAACUCUAUAACCUUUUUAAUUUUCAAUCAGCGUCUGAAAAACAUAAUAAUUACAACUUUCAACAACGGAUCUCUUGGUUCUGGCAUCGAUGAAGAACGCAGCGAAAUGCGAUAAGUAGUGUGAAUUGCAGAAUUCAGUGAAUCAUCGAAUCUUUGAACGCACAUUGCGCCCCUUGGUAUUCCAUGGGGCAUGCCUGUUCGAGCGUCAUUUGUACCCUCAAGCUCUGCUUGGUGUUGGGUGUUUGUCCACUCCCUGGUGUUUGGACUCGCCUUAAAGCAAUUGGCAGCCAGUGUUUUGGUAUUGAAGCGCAGCACAUUUUGCGAUUCUAGCCUGAAAUACUAGCAUCCAGCAAGUCAUUUUUCACUUUUGACCUCGGAUCAGGUAGGGAUACCCGCUGAACUUAAGCAUAUCAAUAAGCGGAGGA